UGUGGCUAAGAAGAGAAAAGACCCAUAGAGAAGCUUCAAUAUGUAUAACAUUUACCGAAAAACUCAAUAUUUUCUUAGGGACUAACACAUAAAUUUUGUGAAAAAUUUAAAAAUAUGAUAAUCAUGUUUUAAUCCAUAGUUGCAUCAUGAUGAAAGUCAAAGAGGUUUGAAACCUUUGUUGUCUUCGUUUCUCUAGAAAAUAACAAUUUUAUAGUAGUUAGUCACCAAUUUAGAAAAUUUUAUGAAACUAUAAUAAAUUAAUAGAGAGUUUUAUGAAGCUACACUAAACUCUCUUUUUGAGUCUGGUUUUAUGAACCUUUGUUGUCUUCGUUUUUUUAGAGAAUAACAAUUUUAUAGUAGUUAGUCCACCAAUUUAGAAAGUAUUAUUGAGUUUUACUAAAUGAAUUGAUAAAAAAAAUUAAAACUAUGCCCAUGUACCAUGAAAGAGAGUUUAAUAUACCUUAAUAUAAAUAUAAAAUGAGUUUAGAAAUUUUAACACUAAAGAACAUAUGCUUCAGUAUAUAGAGCAUUUAUCGAAAAAUUCAAUAUUUUCAUAGGGGUUAACACAUUGAUUUUGAGAAAAAUUCAAAAAAUAUGACAAUAUUGUUUUAAUGUAUAGUUUCAUCCUACAUUAACAUAUGAUGAAGAUCAAAGAAGUUUGAAACCUUUGGUGUCUCUGUUUUUCUGAAGAAUAUCAAUUUUAUAGUGGUUAGUCCACCAAUUUAUGGAGUUUUAUGAAGCUAUAUUAAAUUAAUUGAUAAAAAUUAUAACGAUGCCCAUGCACCAUGAAAAAGAAUAUAUUAAUACAAAUGUAUAAUGUGCUUAUAAAAUUUAAAACAACACUAAUGAUCAUAGGUAUAUAGAGCAUUUACCGAAAAACUCAAUAUUUUCGUAGGGAUUAACACAUAGAUUUUGGAAAAAAAAUUCAAAAAUAUGAAAAUACUGUUUUAAUGCAUAGUUGCAUCCUACACUAAUACAUGAUAAAAAGAGGUUUGAAACUUUUGUUGUCUCCGUUUCUCUAGAUAAUAUCGAUUUUAUAGUGGUUAGUCCACCAAUUUAGAGAAUAUUAUGAAUUUUACUAAAUUAAUUGAUAAAAAAAUUAAAACGAUGUGCAUAUACCAUGAUAAGUAUACAUAACAUUUACCGAAAAACUCAAUAUUUUUAUAGAGGUUAAUACAUAGAUUUUCAGAAAAAUUAAAAAAUAUGACAAUACUAUUUUAAAGCAUACUUGCAUCCUACACUAACAUAUGAUGAAUGUCAAAGAGGUUUGAAACCUUUGUUGUCUCUAUUUUUCUAGAGAAUAACGAUUUUAUAGUGGUUAGUCAACUAAUUUAGAGAGUGUUACAAAAUUUUACUAAAUUAAUUUUAUCCUAUAUUUUUAUAUGCUUUUCUUCGUGCUUUAUCAGUCAACAUCGAUACACAAUUUUCGCAUGCACCUCUGUGGAAGAUUGUAAAAUACUCUCUAGUUUCUGUUGCUUUUGGCCCAUUCUGAAAAUAUUAAUAACACCAAUAGUAUCUCACUUAAUUUGUAAAGCUUCUAAUGUUACUAUUUUAAAUUAAUUUGAUCUUUAAGCAGUUAUGUUUUGUUAUCUGACACUUGGUAGAUACUCUUUUUAGGGCAAGAACUUAACACAUCUUAUUAGGUAAAAAAUUAUGGUAAAAAACACGUCUCGACUUUUCUGUUCAUCGUAUUAUUACAAGAUGUGAUGAUAAAUGUUUUUACUAGAGUUGACAAAAGCACCCGGCAUGUUUAUAUCAAUCAUAGAAUUCCACUAUCAUGAUUUACAUUCAUGUAUUCUAAUAUAAUUCUACAAGAUUAGUUACAAAUACAUAAAUGAUUAUGUCAUUCCACAGUUUUUUACCUUUUUCAGUUAAAUUUAAACUCAGUAUUUUAACCAUCUUUUGCUUCUAUUCUUCUUUUAGAAUAUGUAUAAAGAAUUAAACAAAUAUUUUAUAUUCUUUGAGAUGGCUCGAAUCCUACAUCUUAAAAUGAGUUUUCUAGGAAUUUUUACGUAGUUUUUGGUUAAGGUUAAAUAUAAGAGAUAAAGUGAGGUGGAAAUAAAAUUGUGGUAAGAGUAUAUAUAAAAUGUUAUUGGCAAAUUUCCAACAAACAAUAAAUUAUAACUAAUGCAGAUUUUGAAUUAGAAAGACGUUGCAAAUAUUAAAUUUUCGUUUUGGCAAUCUAAUCAAUGGUUAUCUCCCAGACGUCUUAUUAAAUUAGCUGAUUAUAAAGUUCUGAAAAUAAUAAAAUACACACAUUCAAUAAUACCUAAUGAUUAUUAGAAAUAAAAGUUAGAAGAAAGAAUAAAGUAGUCUCUCGCUCUCUGCACUUUAUUUUGUUCAAAAUCCGCUGCUGCUUUUACUUUGCCGUUUCAAUGAGGACUAAUAAGAAGCUCUCUCACAGAAGCAAAACAAAAGAAGCUUGACUGACUCUCUUUCUCUCUCUAUGUAAGAAAUUCACUUUUACUUUCUCCCUCUAAAAUCUGCUCUCCUCAUUGUCUUGCCUCUGUCUUCUUCAAGAAUUGGUGUCUCUUCAACACUUUCUCUUAUUUUAAAGUACCCUCUCGCUCUCCCCUCCUCUCAAGAACCAAAAAAUAAAAAAAAAGCAAAAGCCCACCAUUUUGUUCAUUGCUUUGUCCCUGUGAGAUAAAAAAGAGAGUCUAAGAAUAUAAACUCAUCUCUUAGGUUCUAUUUUCCUAGCUUACUCUUGUUGAAGUUUCUGUCCGGUCCAUAGGGAGAAAAAAAAACCACAGCUCCAGUCAAAUUUUGGCAGUGAUUCAUACAGAAGUCAAACUUUUAGGGAAACAUUUCCACAUUUUUAGCUUUGAUUAUGGAUGGGUUGAGUUUCUGUUGAAGUAGAACCACACACACACACACACACUGGUAAAAGAAGUAAAAGAAGUAAAAGGAGUAACAAUGAGAGAAGACAAAUCCAAGACAAAUAAGCUGGCCUGGUCAAUGAAGAUGGUCAGGAAAUGGUUUAAUAUAAAAAGCAAAACAGAGGAGUUUCAAGCAGAUGUUCCUGCUCCUUCUGCUGAAGUUGAAGUAGAGCACAGAAGCAGCUUCUCAGCAGAGAAAGCUCCCAGCACAAUCAAGAAGACCAAAACUGAGAAGCUCAGUAAGAACUGGGAGCAGCAAGCUCGGCAAAGGAGAAUGAACUAUGAGAAUCCUAGGAUUGUUGAUGUCCAAAACUAUAGCAUCUUUACUGCAACCUGGAACGUAGCUGGACGCUCUCCUCCUUCAGACUUAAACCUUGAUGAGUGGCUUCACUCAUCAGCUCCUGCAGAUAUAUACGUCCUAGGGUUCCAAGAGAUAGUUCCUCUUAAUGCUGGCAACGUCCUUGGAGCUGAAGACAACGGACCUGCUCAGAAAUGGCUCUCUCUUAUCCGCAAAACGCUCAACAACCGACCAGGCACCAGCGGAGCCAGCGGCUACCACACGCCUUCCCCUCUCCCUGUCCCUAUGGCAGAGCUUGACGCUGACUUCUCCGGCUCCACAAGGCAGAAGAACUCCACCUUCUUCCACAGACGCUCUUUCCAAACCCCAAGCAGUACAUGGAACGAUCCUUCAGUCUCUCAGCCAGGUCUUGACCGGCGUUUCAGCGUCUGUGACCGCGUCUUCUUCAGCCACAGGCCGAGUGAUUUUGACCCGAGUUUCCGCGGUAGCAGCAGCAGCAGCAGCAGUCACAGGCCUAGUGAUUACUCCAGAAGGCCUAGUGAUUACUCAAGAAGACCUAGUGAUUAUUCAAGACCGAGUGAUUACUCUAAUAGACCAAGUGAUUACUACUCUAGACCGAGUGAUUACUCACGGCCAAGUGACUUCUCAAGGUCUUCUGAUGAUGAUAAUGUUACUGGUGACUCUCCAAGCACUGUCUUGUACUCGCCAGGCUCUACAGCAAACGAGAACGGGUAUAGGAUGCCGUGGAACACUUCUCAGUAUUGUUUAGUUGCUAGCAAACAGAUGGUUGGUGUCUUCUUGACCAUUUGGGUGAAAAGCGAGCUAAGGGAACAUGUGAAGAACAUGAAGGUGUCUUGUGUUGGGAGAGGACUAAUGGGCUAUCUUGGGAAUAAGGGAUCAAUCUCAAUAAGCAUGUUGCUGCAUCAAACAAGCUUUUGCUUUGUUUGUACUCACUUGACUUCAGGACAGAAGGAAGGUGAUGAGCUGAAGAGAAACUCUGAUGUCAUGGAGAUACUUAAGAAAACAAGGUUUCCUCGCGUGAAGAGCUCAGAGGAUGAGAAGUCCCCUGAGAAUAUACUUCAGCAUGAUCGUGUAAUAUGGCUUGGGGAUCUGAACUACCGGAUAGCACUGACUUAUCGAUCUGCUAAAGCACUCGUUGAGAUGCAGAACUGGAGAGCUUUGCUAGAAAACGACCAGUUAAGGAUAGAGCAGAAACGAGGCCAUGUGUUCAAAGGAUGGAACGAAGGAAAAAUCUAUUUCCCACCAACGUACAAGUACUCAAGGAACUCAGAUAGAUACUCUGGAGAUGACUUGCAUCCCAAGGAGAAACGUCGCACUCCUGCUUGGUGUGAUAGGAUACUGUGGUACGGUGAAGGGUUGCAUCAGUUAUCUUAUGUAAGAGGAGAGUCAAGGUUCUCGGAUCAUAGACCGGUCUAUGGCAUUUUCUGUGCAGAGGUUGAGUCAGCUCAUAAUAAGUUAAAGAGAACAAUGAGUUGCUCCGCUUCAAGGGUCCAAGCUGAAGAGCUCUUUCCUUAUUCCCGUGGAUACACCGAGCUCAGCUUCUUCUAGAAGUAAACACACGUGACAUGAGCUGUUCAGAACUAAAGAAGUCCACAAGCAUGUGUGGUCCUGAGAUGCAAAAUAGAGUUGAGACCAGUCUAUAAUUCUCUGCAUUUAUGUGCAUAUGUGAACAAAAGUGUUUUUGGAUCUUUGAGAGUGAUGGAGACAUUCCAUUGCCUCUUUAACUCGAAGGGAACAGUUUGUAGGUGUAGAAAGUGUUUUGUAAUUUUGGCCUCGGUUAACCAAUUUUCACGUACCGGCGGUUCUGUGGUCUAUCCGGUUCAUAGUUUUGAUGGUUUUUGCUAACUCUGGUGGAUUUGCCCGAAAAUUUACAGCUACAUUAUAAGGAAAUCAACUAACUCAAUCAGAAACUGCCAAGUAGAAGUUCAUUUUUAAAAUUUUCAUUCUUUUGAGCUAGCACAAGUAAGAUAAAUUAAGUUUUAAAGUUUGGCGAGCGCUCAAAUCAAACUACAAAUCUCAAAAGUAGGUUAAAAAGUGCUUUUUUCUCUCUC
RNA transcript from Brassica rapa (field mustard), 5249 nucleotides. It is a transcript of the gene named type IV inositol polyphosphate 5-phosphatase 6, with no coding region annotated. Lineage: Eukaryota; Viridiplantae; Streptophyta; Magnoliopsida; Brassicales; Brassicaceae. The record is from RefSeq and is a predicted model, not a curated record.